RNAcentral lists this ribosomal RNA (482 nucleotides) under uncultured bacterium. Its description in RNAcentral is "partial 16S ribosomal RNA". It matches the Rfam family "Bacterial small subunit ribosomal RNA", at positions 30 to 507 of the family's 1533-position model. The record is from RNAcentral.
AUUGAACGCUGGCGGCAUGCUUUACACAUGCAAGUCGAACGGUAACAGGCCGCAAGGUGCUGACGAGUGGCGCACGGGUGAGUAAUGCAUCGGAACGUGCCCAGUCGUGGGGGAUAACUACUCGAAAGAGUAGCUAAUACCGCAUACGAUCUAUGGAUGAAAGCGGGGGACCGUAAGGCCUCGCGCGAUUUGAGCGGCCGAUGUCAGAUUAGGUAGUUGGUGGGGUAAAGGCUCACCAAGCCAACGAUCUGUAGCUGGUCUGAGAGGACAACCAGCCACACUGGGACUGAGACACGGCCCAGACUCCUACGGGAGGCAGCAGUGGGGAAUUUUGGACAAUGGGCGCAAGCCUGAUCCAGCAAUGCCGCGUGCAGGAAGAAGGCCUUCGGGUUGUAAACUGCUUUUGUACGGAACGAAACGGCUCUGGUUAAUACCCGGGGCUAAUGACGGUACCGUAAGAAUAAGCACCGGCUAACUACGUG